Molecule: ribosomal RNA, 250 nt
Filed under: uncultured bacterium
Lineage: Bacteria
Description: partial 16S ribosomal RNA
Rfam family: Bacterial small subunit ribosomal RNA
Source: RNAcentral
UAGAUACCCUGGUAGUCCACGCUGUAAACGCUGUCGAUUUGGGGAUUAGGCCUUGAGCUUGGUGCCCGAAGCUAACGUGAUAAAUCGACCGCCUGGGGAGUACGGCCGCAAGGUUAAAACUCAAAUGAAUUGACGGGGGCCCGCACAAGCGGUGGAGCAUGUGGUUUAAUUCGAUGCAACGCGAAGAACCUUACCUAUCUUGACAUCCAUGGAAUCUUGUAGAGAUAUGAGAGUGCCUUCGGGGACCAUG